CCUGAAACCGUGUGCCUACAAAUAGUUAAAUCCCGUUAAUGGGUGAUAGCGUGCCUUUUGUAGAAUGAACCGGCGAGUUACGAUCCCAUGCGAGGUUAAGUUGAUGAGACGGAGCCGUAGCGAAAGCGAGUCUGAAUGGCGAAUGAGUAUGUGGUCGUAGACCCGAAACCAAGUGAUCUACCCAUGUCCAGGUUGAAGGUGCGGUAAUACGCACUGGAGGACCGAACCCACGUAUGUUAAAAAAUGCGGGGAUGAGGUGUGGGUAGCGGAGAAAUUCCAAUCGAACUUGGAGAUAGCUGGUUCUCUCCGAAAUAGCUUUAGGGCUAGCCUCGAAUGUAUCGUUAUGGUGGUAAAGCACUGAAUGGGCUAGGGGCCUCACAAGGUUACCGAACUCAAUCAAACUCUGAAUGCCAUACACGACUGUUCGGGAGUCAGACUACGGGUGCUAAGAUCCGU
Molecule: ribosomal RNA, 456 nt
Filed under: Ditylum brightwellii
Lineage: Eukaryota; Bacillariophyta; Thalassiosirophyceae; Lithodesmiales; Lithodesmiaceae
Description: partial Bacterial large subunit ribosomal RNA
Rfam family: Bacterial large subunit ribosomal RNA
Source: RNAcentral